GUCCACGCCCUAAACGAUGCAUGCUAGCUGUUAUCAGUAUCGACCCUGAUAGUAGCGAAGCUAACGCGUUAAGCAUGCCGCCUGGGGAGUACGAACGCAAGUUUAAAACUCAAAGGAAUUGACGGGGACCCCGCACAAGCGGUGGAGCGUGUUGUUUAAUUCGAUGGUAAGCGAAGAACCUUACCAGGGUUUGACAUCUCUGGAAUCUCUCCGAAAGGAGAUAGUGCCUUCGGGAACCAGAUGACAGGUGUUGCAUGGCCGUCGU
RNAcentral lists this ribosomal RNA (265 nucleotides) under uncultured bacterium. RNAcentral describes it as "partial 16S ribosomal RNA". It matches the Rfam family "Bacterial small subunit ribosomal RNA", at positions 793 to 1055 of the family's 1533-position model. The record is from RNAcentral.